UACGUAGGGUGCGAGCGUUAAUCGGAAUUACUGGGCGUGAAGCGUGCGCAGGCGGUUUUGUAAGCCAGAUGUGAAAUCCCCGGGCUUAACCUGGGAAUGGCAUUUGGGACUGCAAGGCUGGAGUGUGGCAGAGGAGACUGGAAUUCCUGGUGUAGCAGUGAAAUGCGUAGAUAUCAGGAGGAAUACCGAUGGCGAAGGCAGGUCUCUGGGCUGACACUGACGCUCAUGCACGAAAGCGUGGGGAGCAAACAGG
Molecule: ribosomal RNA, 253 nt
Filed under: uncultured bacterium
Lineage: Bacteria
Description: partial 16S ribosomal RNA
Rfam family: Bacterial small subunit ribosomal RNA
Source: RNAcentral